AGAGUUUGAUCCUGGCUCAGAUUGAACGCUGGCGGCAUGCCUUACACAUGCAAGUCGAACGGCAGCGCGGGAGCAAUCCUGGCGGCGAGUGGCGAACGGGUGAGUAAUAUAUCGGAACGUGCCCAGUAGUGGGGGAUAGCCCGGCGAAAGCCGGAUUAAUACCGCAUACGACCUACGGGUGAAAGGGGGGGAUCGCAAGACCUCUCGCUAUUGGAGCGGCCGAUAUCAGAUUAGGUAGUUGGUGGGGUAAAGGCCUACCAAGCCUGCGAUCUGUAGUUGGUCUGAGAGGACGACCAGCCACACUGGGACUGAGACACGGCCCAGACUCCUACGGGAGGCAGCAGUGGGGAAUUUUGGACAAUGGGCGCAAGCCUGAUCCAGCAAUGCCGCGUGCAGGAAGAAGGCCUUCGGGUUGUAAACUGCUUUUGUCAGGGAAGAAAUCCUCUGGGUUAAUACCUCGGGGGGAUGACGGUACCUGAAGAAUAAGCACCGGCUAACUACGUGCCAGCAGCCGCGGUAAUACGUAGGGUGCGAGCGUUAAUCGGAAUUACUGGGCGUAAAGCGUGCGCAGGCGGUUGUGCAAGACAGGUGUGAAAUCCCCGGGCUUAACCUGUGAACUGCACUUGUGACUGCACGGCUAGAGUACGGUAGAGGUGGAUGGAAUUCCGCGUGUAGCAGUGAAAUGCGUAGAUAUGCUGAGGAACACCGAUGGCGAAGGCAAUCCCCUGGACCUGUACUGACGCUCAUGCACGAAAGCGUGGGGAGCAAACAGGAUUAGAUACCCUGCGUAGUCCACGCCCUAAACGAUGUCAACUGGUUGUUGGACGGCUUGCUGUUCAGUAACGAAGCUAACGCGUGAAGUUGACCGCCUGCGGAGUACGGUCCGCAAGCUGAGACUCAAAGGUAUUGACUGGGGACCCGCACAGCGCGGUAUGAUGUGGUCUAGUUCGAUGCUACGCUGAAAAAUCCUUACGUACG
RNAcentral lists this ribosomal RNA (978 nucleotides) under uncultured bacterium. Its description in RNAcentral is "bacterial SSU rRNA". It matches the Rfam family "Bacterial small subunit ribosomal RNA", at positions 8 to 979 of the family's 1533-position model. The record is from RNAcentral.